This 492-nucleotide ribosomal RNA is filed under the name uncultured bacterium. Its description in RNAcentral is "partial 16S ribosomal RNA". It matches the Rfam family "Bacterial small subunit ribosomal RNA", at positions 29 to 507 of the family's 1533-position model. The record is from RNAcentral.
AGUGAAUGCUGGCGGUAGGCCUAACACAUGCAAGUCGAACGGCAGCACAGUAAGAGCUUGCUCUUACGGGUGGCGAGUGGCGGACGGGUGAGGAAUACAUCGGAAUCUACUUUUUCGUGGGGGAUAACGUAGGGAAACUUACGCUAAUACCGCAUACGACCUACGGGUGAAAGCAGGGGAUCUUCGGACCUUGCGCGAUUGAAUGAGCCGAUGUCGGAUUAGCUAGUUGGCGGGGUAAAGGCCCACCAAGGCGACGAUCCGUAGCUGGUCUGAGAGGAUGAUCAGCCACACUGGAACUGAGACACGGUCCAGACUCCUACGGGAGGCAGCAGUGGGGAAUAUUGGACAAUGGGCGCAAGCCUGAUCCAGCCAUACCGCGUGGGUGAAGAAGGCCUUCGGGUUGUAAAGCCCUUUUGUUGGGAAAGAAAAGCAGCAGGUUAAUACCCCGCUGUUCUGACGGUACCCAAAGAAUAAGUACCGGCUAACUUCGUG